GACGAACGCUGGCGGCGUGCUUAACACAUGCAAGUCGAACGAAAAGAGGGAAAGAGCUUGCUCUUUCCGGAAUUGAGUGGCAAACGGGUGAGUAACACGUAAACAACCUGCCUUCAGGAUGGGGACAACAGACGGAAACGACUGCUAAUACCGAAUAAGUUCCAAGAGCCGCAUGGCCCAUGGAAGAAAAGGUGGCCUCUACCUGUAAGCUAUCGCCUGAAGAGGGGUUUGCGUCUGAUUAGCUGGCUGGAGGGGUAACGGCCCACCAAGGCGACGAUCAGUAGCCGGUCUGAGAGGAUGAACGGCCACACUGGAACUGAGACACGGUCCAGACUCCUACGGGAGGCAGCAGUGGGGAAUCUUCCGCAAUGGGCGAAAGCCUGACGGAGCAACGCCGCGUGAGUGAUGACGGCCUUCGGGUUGUAAAACUCUGUGAUCCGAGACGAAAGGGCAGAGUGCGAAGAACAAACUGCAU
This 475-nucleotide ribosomal RNA is filed under the name Dialister invisus. RNAcentral describes it as "bacterial SSU rRNA". It matches the Rfam family "Bacterial small subunit ribosomal RNA", at positions 28 to 469 of the family's 1533-position model. Lineage: Bacteria; Bacillati; Bacillota; Negativicutes; Veillonellales; Veillonellaceae. The record is from RNAcentral.